GGCUGGUCUGAGUGCAGUGUUUACAACUAUUGAUUACAGAUAUCUUUGUUCCUUCUCCACCCCCACUGCUUCACUUGACUAGUCUUAA
Molecule: unclassified non-coding RNA, 88 nt
Organism: Nomascus leucogenys (northern white-cheeked gibbon)
Lineage: Eukaryota; Metazoa; Chordata; Mammalia; Primates; Hylobatidae
Rfam family: Y RNA
About the family: Y RNAs are components of the Ro ribonucleoprotein particle (Ro RNP), in association with Ro60 and La proteins. The Y RNAs and Ro60 and La proteins are well conserved, but the function of the Ro RNP is not known. In humans the RNA component can be one of four small RNAs -- hY1, hY3, hY4 and hY5.
Source: Ensembl